Molecule: unclassified non-coding RNA, 305 nt
Filed under: plant metagenome
Description: partial contains 5.8S ribosomal RNA, internal transcribed spacer 2, and large subunit ribosomal RNA
Rfam family: 5.8S ribosomal RNA (bases 1-105)
Source: RNAcentral
GAAAUGCGAUAAGUAAUGUGAAUUGCAGAAUUCAGUGAAUCAUCGAAUCUUUGAACGCACAUUGCACCCGCCAGUAUUCUGGCGGGCAUGCCUGUCCGAGCGUCAUUUCAACCAUCAAGCCCCCGGGCUUGUGUUGGGGACCUGCGGCUGCCCGCAGGCCCUGAAAACCAGUGGCGGGCUCGCUGUCACACCGAGCGUAGUAGCAAUCACCUCGCUCAGGGCGUGCUGCGGGUUCCGGCCGUUAAACAGCCUUCGUAACCCAAGGUUGACCUCGGAUCAGGUAGGAAGACCCGCUGAACUUAAGC